RNAcentral lists this unclassified non-coding RNA (290 nucleotides) under uncultured fungus. RNAcentral's name for it is "partial contains small subunit ribosomal RNA, internal transcribed spacer 1, and 5.8S ribosomal RNA". The stretch from base 1 to 72 matches the Rfam family "Eukaryotic small subunit ribosomal RNA", at positions 1760 to 1831 of the family's 1831-position model. Lineage: Eukaryota; Fungi. The record is from RNAcentral.
CCAAACUGGUCAUUUAGAGGAAGUAAAAGUCGUAACAAGGUUUCCGUAGGUGAACCUGCGGAAGGAUCAUUACAGUAUAUUGAAUUCUUAUUCAUAUCAACCCACACUGUGUACCUUUUAUUUGUUGCUUCCAUGGGACAUGGCUCUGCCACGUCGGCCUUCGGGCUGGUGAGUUCCCAUGGAAGGAAACCCAAUACUCUUUUUAUUUUUGACAUCUGUCUGAAUAGUUUUUAUAAACGUUAAAACUUUCAACAACGGAUCUCUUGGUUCUCGCAUCGAUGAAGCGCAGC